UGAGUAAUGUAUAGGAAUCUACCUAGUAGUACGGAAUAAUUGUUGGAAACGGCAACUAAUACCGUAUACGCCCUACGGGGGAAAAAUUUAUUGCUAUUAGAUGAGCCUAUAUUAGAUUAGCUAGUUGGUGGAGUAAUAGCCUACCAAGGCAAUGAUCUAUAGCUGAUCUGAGAGGAUGAUCAGCCACACUGGAACUGAGAUACGGUCCAGACCCCUACGGGAGGCAGCAGUGGGGAAUAUUGGACAAUGGGCGAAAGCCUGGUCCAGCCAUGCCGCAUGAGUGAAGAAGGCCUUUGGGUUGUAAAGCUCUUUUAGUGAGGAAGAUAAUGGCGGUACUCACAGAAGAAGUCCUGGCUAACUCCGUGCCAGCAGCCGCGGUAAUACGGAGAGGGCUAGCGUUAUUCGGAAUUAUUGGGCGUAAAGGGCGCGUAGGCGGAUUAGUAAGUUAAAAGUGAAAUCCCAAGGCUCAACCUUGGAAUUGCUUUUAAAACUGCUAAUCUAGAGAUUGAAAGAGGAUAGAGGAAUUCCUAGUGUAGAGGUGAAAUUCGUAAAUAUUAGGAGGAACACCAGUGGCGAAGGCGUCUAUCUGGUUCAAAUCUGACGCUGAGGCGCGAAGGCGUGGGGAGCAAACAGGAUUAGAUACCUUGGUAGUCCACGCUGUAAACGAUGAAUGUUAAAUAUGGGAAGUUUUACUUUCUGUAUUACAGCUAACGCGUUAAACAUUCCGCCUGGGGACUACGGUCGCAAGAUUAAAACUCAAAGGAAUUGACGGGGACCCGCACAAGCGGUGGAGCAUGUGGUUUAAUUCGAUGCAACGCG
This 819-nucleotide ribosomal RNA is filed under the name Wolbachia endosymbiont of Bovicola ovis. RNAcentral describes it as "bacterial SSU rRNA". It matches the Rfam family "Bacterial small subunit ribosomal RNA", at positions 107 to 963 of the family's 1533-position model. Lineage: Bacteria; Pseudomonadati; Pseudomonadota; Alphaproteobacteria; Rickettsiales; Anaplasmataceae. The record is from RNAcentral.